GGAAAGUCCAAAGAGGACAAUAUCUGCUAACGGUGCUAUAACAUCUGGUAGUGAAGAGUUAUUUAUACCUAACCUAAGUAUGUAUUUUAGUUGGUAUAGACACGGGGCAAUCUCUUCAUGUUUAUGAUGCUAUCAGGUUCGAACCUAACCUGGACAUAGAGAGUUGUAUUGCCAAUCAAUUCAUUCUCUUGAGUAAUAAAGCUACGACACCGUUUGGUAGUAAUCACUCGCAUGCAUCAAGGUGUUCCCUGGCUCGUUAGUUCUCCCUUCCAUGGUGUUAUCUACACUAUACAGCUAUGUCACAAGAUUUCGCAACCAUUCCUCUCCUUCCCUCUCGUUCUCAAUGUUUCUAUGUUUUUUGUUUUUGGUGGGCAGAACGAGGUUAGUUGGACUUAGUGAGAGGGGGACGGGCAUGUUCUUGGGAGAGGUUGCCCGAGAAUUCCGGUGAAUCGCUGGAAUUCUCAGAGAUGCCAACAACUAGUUAAUAUAUAUUUGUAACCGUUACAUUUGGUUUCUCUAAAAAAGU
Long non-coding RNA from Cucurbita maxima (winter squash), 526 nucleotides. RefSeq lists it as uncharacterized. NCBI's taxonomy places the organism in Eukaryota, Viridiplantae, Streptophyta, Magnoliopsida, Cucurbitales, Cucurbitaceae. The record is from RefSeq and is a predicted model, not a curated record. The transcript is spliced from 2 exons.